AGCUUUGCGCAGAGGCAGUGUCAUACCCCGUGAGGUUCUACCGAGGCGUGACUAUUGCUAGUUGAAAACUCACUAAGUACUUACACAUGAUAAACUGUACAAAAAAUACCUACAUAUGACAAGUUCUUAUAAUGAAUUUAAAAUAUUUA
Stegodyphus mimosarum is the source of this 149-nucleotide non-coding RNA. The record is from Rfam. Lineage: Eukaryota; Metazoa; Arthropoda; Arachnida; Araneae; Eresidae.